RNAcentral lists this small RNA (293 nucleotides) under Haloarcula marismortui ATCC 43049. RNAcentral's name for it is "5' ureB small RNA". It matches the Rfam family "5' ureB small RNA". The record is from Rfam by way of RNAcentral. Lineage: Archaea; Methanobacteriati; Methanobacteriota; Halobacteria; Halobacteriales; Haloarculaceae.
UGUUCGUGAAGCUGUGCGGAGUUGAAGUGAAUGUGGAUAUCGAGGCCGCCGGCGGUUGCUAUCUUCCCCUCAGCCGGAUAGACAUCCGUCGACGGGCCGACGACCAUGUCGACGCCGUCCAUUGUGUCGGGGUUGCCGGCUUUCCCGAUGCCGGCGAUUUCCCCGUUUCGAAUGCCGAUAUCGGCGGCAACGAUACCCAGUAUCGGGUCGAUAAUCGUCGCGUUCGUCAGCACCCAGUCGAGUGCGCCCUCCGCCUGUGUGACGCCGGGAGCCAUUCCCAGCCCGUCCCGGAG